Molecule: ribosomal RNA, 1053 nt
Filed under: Salmonella enterica
Lineage: Bacteria; Pseudomonadati; Pseudomonadota; Gammaproteobacteria; Enterobacterales; Enterobacteriaceae
Description: bacterial SSU rRNA
Rfam family: Bacterial small subunit ribosomal RNA
Source: RNAcentral
GAAGAGUUUGAUCAUGGCUCAGAUUGAACGCUGGCGGCAGGCCUAACACAUGCAAGUCGAACGGUAACAGGAAGCAGCUUGCUGCUUUGCUGACGAGUGGCGGACGGGUGAGUAAUGUCUGGGAAACUGCCUGAUGGAGGGGGAUAACUACUGGAAACGGUGGCUAAUACCGCAUAACGUCGCAAGACCAAAGAGGGGGACCUUCGGGCCUCUUGCCAUCAGAUGUGCCCAGAUGGGAUUAGCUUGUUGGUGAGGUAACGGCUCACCAAGGCGACGAUCCCUAGCUGGUCUGAGAGGAUGACCAGCCACACUGGAACUGAGACACGGUCCAGACUCCUACGGGAGGCAGCAGUGGGGAAUAUUGCACAAUGGGCGCAAGCCUGAUGCAGCCAUGCCGCGUGUAUGAAGAAGGCCUUCGGGUUGUAAAGUACUUUCAGCGGGGAGGAAGGUGUUGUGGUUAAUAACCGCAGCAAUUGACGUUACCCGCAGAAGAAGCACCGGCUAACUCCGUGCCAGCAGCCGCGGUAAUACGGAGGGUGCAAGCGUUAAUCGGAAUUACUGGGCGUAAAGCGCACGCAGGCGGUCUGUCAAGUCGGAUGUGAAAUCCCCGGGCUCAACCUGGGAACUGCAUUCGAAACUGGCAGGCUUGAGUCUUGUAGAGGGGGGUAGAAUUCCAGGUGUAGCGGUGAAAUGCGUAGAGAUCUGGAGGAAUACCGGUGGCGAAGGCGGCCCCCUGGACAAAGACUGACGCUCAGGUGCGAAAGCGUGGGGAGCAAACAGGAUUAGAUACCCUGGUAGUCCACGCCGUAAACGAUGUCUACUUGGAGGUUGUGCCCUUGAGGCGUGGCUUCCGGAGCUAACGCGUUAAGUAGACCGCCUGGGGAGUACGGCCGCAAGGUUAAAACUCAAAUGAAUUGACGGGGGCCCGCACAAGCGGUGGAGCAUGUGGUUUAAUUCGAUGCAACGCGAAGAACCUUACCUGGUCUUGACAUCCACAGAACUUUCCAGAGAUGGAUUGGUGCCUUCGGGAACUGUGAGACAGGUGCUGCAUGG